RNAcentral lists this ribosomal RNA (606 nucleotides) under Fusarium graminearum. RNAcentral describes it as "eukaryotic LSU rRNA". It matches the Rfam family "Eukaryotic large subunit ribosomal RNA", at positions 38 to 667 of the family's 3401-position model. Lineage: Eukaryota; Fungi; Ascomycota; Sordariomycetes; Hypocreales; Nectriaceae. The record is from RNAcentral.
GCAUAUCAAUAAGCGGAGGAAAAGAAACCAACAGGGAUUGCCCUAGUAACGGCGAGUGAAGCGGCAACAGCUCAAAUUUGAAAUCUGGCUUUCGGGCCCGAGUUGUAAUUUGUAGAGGAUGAUUUUGAUGCGGUGCCUUCCGAGUUCCCUGGAACGGGACGCCAUAGAGGGUGAGAGCCCCGUCUGGUUGGAUGCCAAAUCUCUGUAAAUCUCCUUCGACGAGUCGAGUAGUUUGGGAAUGCUGCUCUAAAUGGGAGGUAUAUGUCUUCUAAAGCUAAAUACCGGCCAGAGACCGAUAGCGCACAAGUAGAGUGAUCGAAAGAUGAAAAGCACUUUGAAAAGAGAGUUAAAAAGUACGUGAAAUUGUUGAAAGGGAAGCGUUUAUGACCAGACUUGGGCUUGGUUAAUCAUCUGGGGUUCUCUCCAGUGCACUUUUCCAGUCCAGGCCAGCAUCAGUUUUCGCCGGGGGAUAAAGGCUUCGGGAAUGUGGCUCCCCUCGGGGAGUGUUAUAGCCCGUUGUGUAAUACCCUGGUGGGGACUGAGGUUCGCGCUUCUGCAAGGAUGCUGGCGUAAUGGUCAUCAACGACCCGUCUUGAAACACGGACC